Molecule: long non-coding RNA, 805 nt
Organism: Triticum dicoccoides
Lineage: Eukaryota; Viridiplantae; Streptophyta; Magnoliopsida; Poales; Poaceae
Exons: 2
Source: RefSeq, a predicted model, not a curated record
AGGCCGUCGUCCUCGUCGGCGGCCGCCCCUCCGCUGUUGCUAUCACCAACGACGUGGGUACCAUUCUCCUGCCGAGCGAAGGCAAAGAGCAAGUAGGAACGGCGGCGGCUUCCCGGCCAUGGGAUUGCUGCGACAACACCAUAUGCACCAGGUCCUUGCCGCCUAUCUGCAUCUGUCUGGACGAGGUCGACGAGUGCGCCUCCAUUCCGCCGCGUGUGCGGAGACCAGUACUUCGGCGACCCCGGGCCCAAGUGCACCAACACCCUCGUCGGCGACCACAACGAAGACGCCCUCGAUGCCAAAGGUGAUCACCAAGCGAGCGUAGCGGUGGCGGCGGCGGCGAAGAACGGGGCAGAGGAGGAGAAGCCGUGGGAGUGCUGUGACAUGCCUCUGUGCACCAGGUCAUACCCGCCGAUGUGCCGCUGCGUGGACCAGGUCGAGCAGUGCGCUACAACAUGCAAGAGCUGCGGGGUGUCCAUCUUGAACCCGUUCCGCCGCGUCUGCAACGACUGGUACAACGGCUUCCCAGGUCGCAGGUGCACCGAGGCCGCCGGCAGCGGCGGUAAUAACUAGCACCGGCGUUCAUCAUCUGAUCAACGCCGUCAACCGUGCACUUGAGUUGCUCCUACAUGCACUGUGUGACAAUAAAAUAAGAAAUGGAUGGCCGGCUGGCCUGCUACCGCUACUGCUUGCCUGAAUGGUGAUCAGGCAACCAUGCAUGAAUAAUGACAAGUCGAGCGUCUCUAUGUUGAAAUAUUUCAAUCAUGAACGGUGUGGUUUUUUUCAUGACAAGUUAAAUUGCUUA